UGUCGUCAGCUCGUGUUGUGAAAUGUUGGGUUAAGUCCCGCAACGAGCGCAACCCUUAUCCUUUGUUGCCAGCGGUCCGGCCGGGAACUCAAAGGAGACUGCCAGUGAUAAACUGGAGGAAGGUGGGGAUGACGUCAAGUCAUCAUGGCCCUUACGACCAGGGCUACACACGUGCUACAAUGGCGCAUACAAAGAGAAGCGACCUCGCGAGAGCAAGCGGACCUCAUAAAGUGCGUCGUAGUCCGGAUUGGAGUCUGCAACUCGACUCCAUGAAGUCGGAAUCGCUAGUAAUCGUGGAUCAGAAUGCCACGGUGAAUACGUUCCCGGGCCUUGUACACACCGCCCGUCACACCAUGGGAGUGGGUUGCAAAAGAAGUAGGUAGCUUAACCUUCGGGAGGGCGCUUACCACUUUGUGAUUCAUGACUGGGGUGAAGUCGUAACAAGGUAACCGUAGGGGAACCUGCGGUUGGAUCACCUCCUUACCUGAAAGAAGC
Molecule: ribosomal RNA, 495 nt
Filed under: Salmonella enterica subsp. enterica serovar Oranienburg
Lineage: Bacteria; Pseudomonadati; Pseudomonadota; Gammaproteobacteria; Enterobacterales; Enterobacteriaceae
Also listed under: 9 other names
Description: partial 16S ribosomal RNA
Rfam family: Bacterial small subunit ribosomal RNA
Source: RNAcentral